AGAAAUGCCAGAGGUCACUUCAAACCAUGCUAAGGCAUGCCAGAAGUUCAGUACAAUCAAAGAGGAAAAGACAGAUUGCAGCUGUAAGGGCUUUUAAGUUGCCAUUUUACCAGGAAAAAAAUAAAAUAAAAUUGUUGUCAAUAGUGCAUGUUUCAUCAAUUAAGCAUGAGGAAUCAUAUUAUAAAUCCAAGCUCUGACACAGGAAGGUUUAUCAGGUUUAAGUCGCUGUUGACAUUCAUGCAAUAUGAAAGGUCAUUCAUGUGUGACUAGCGUAUCCAACAAAACACAUCUUUCAAAUUCAUUCCAUUUAAAGCAAAAUUAACAACUUACCUCAUGUCUUGCCUUCAACUUUCCUGCAACAUUCAU
RNAcentral lists this unclassified non-coding RNA (366 nucleotides) under Hevea brasiliensis (rubber tree). Lineage: Eukaryota; Viridiplantae; Streptophyta; Magnoliopsida; Malpighiales; Euphorbiaceae. The record is from RNAcentral.